Molecule: ribosomal RNA, 1346 nt
Filed under: uncultured bacterium
Lineage: Bacteria
Description: partial 16S ribosomal RNA
Rfam family: Bacterial small subunit ribosomal RNA
Source: RNAcentral
GACGAACGCUGGCGGCGUGCUUAACACAUGCAAGUCGAACGGAAAGGCCCUGCUUUUGUGGGGUGCUCGAGUGGCGAACGGGUGAGUAACACGUGAGUAACCUGCCCUUGACUUUGGGAUAACUUCAGGAAACUGGGGCUAAUACCGGAUAGGAGCUCCUGCUGCAUGGUGGGGGUUGGAAAGUUUCGGCGGUUGGGGAUGGACUCGCGGCUUAUCAGCUUGUUGGUGGGGUAGUGGCUUACCAAGGCUUUGACGGGUAGCCGGCCUGAGAGGGUGACCGGCCACAUUGGGACUGAGAUACGGCCCAGACUCCUACGGGAGGCAGCAGUGGGGAAUAUUGCACAAUGGGCGGAAGCCUGAUGCAGCAACGCCGCGUGCGGGAUGACGGCCUUCGGGUUGUAAACCGCUUUCGCCUGUGACGAAGCGUGAGUGACGGUAAUGGGUAAAGAAGCACCGGCUAACUACGUGCCAGCAGCCGCGGUGAUACGUAGGGUGCGAGCGUUGUCCGGAUUUAUUGGGCGUAAAGGGCUCGUAGGUGGUUGAUCGCGUCGGAAGUGUAAUCUUGGGGCUUAACCCUGAGCGUGCUUUCGAUACGGGUUGACUUGAGGAAGGUAGGGGAGAAUGGAAUUCCUGGUGGAGCGGUGGAAUGCGCAGAUAUCAGGAGGAACACCAGUGGCGAAGGCGGUUCUCUGGGCCUUUCCUGACGCUGAGGAGCGAAAGCGUGGGGAGCGAACAGGCUUAGAUACCCUGGUAGUCCACGCUGUAAACGGUGGGUACUAGGUGUGGGGUCCAUUCCACGGGUUCCGUGCCGUAGCUAACGCUUUAAGUACCCCGCCUGGGGAGUACGGCCGCAAGGCUAAAACCCAAAGGAAUUGACGGGGCCCCGCACAAGCGGCGGAGCAUGCGGAUUAAUUCGAUGCAACGCGUAGAACCUUACCUGGGUUUGACAUGGAUCGGGAGUGCUCAGAGAUGGGUGUGCCUCUUUUGGGGUCGGUUCACAGGUGGUGCAUGGCUGUCGUCAGCUCGUGUCGUGAGAUGUUGGGUUAAGUCCCGCAACGAGCGCAACCCUUGUUCACUGUUGCCAGCACGUUAUGGUGGGGACUCAGUGGAGACCGCCGGGGUCAACUCGGAGGAAGGUGGGGAUGACGUCAAGUCAUCAUGCCCCUUAUGUCCAGGGCUUCACGCAUGCUACAAUGGCUGGUACAGAGAGUGGCGAGCCUGUGAGGGUGAGCAAAUCUCGGAAAGCCGGUCUCAGUUCGGAUUGGGGUCUGCAACUCGACCUCAUGAAGUCGGAGUCGCUAGUAAUCGCAGAUCAGCAACGCUGCGGUGAAUACGUUCCCGGGGCU